CGAAGAAAUAAAUAAUAAAAGUAGUCAUAUUGCUGAUGUUACUACUGCUACUACCACUACUACUAUAACUGCUCCUACUGUUACUAACGACAGGAGUAAAACACUAGUUGCUGAAAUUAAUAAUACAAAAGAAGAUAUGAAAAAAUUUGUGUGUCUUUUGAAAAAUAAAAUGAGUAACUUUGAUAAUGUUAACAAUUCAGUAAAACAAGAUAAAGUCAGUUCAAGUAAGGACAACACAGUGGUCAUGUCAAAGGGCAAUGGGUAUAGUCAACCUGACAAAGAAGGAGAUGAAGACGAAAAAGAAGAACAAGAUGAUUCUUUUUUUUCAAUAUUUGAUCAAAAUGAUAUUCUUAAUGAUGAUGAAACUGGUGAUGAAACUGGUGAUGAAACUGGUGAUGAAACUGGUAAUAAAAAUGUGAAAAAAUAUAAUGACAGACAAAUAUACGAUACGUAUGUGCCUAUCCACAGUAACAACAACAAUAAUGACAUUAGUAACAUACGGGAUAACCAUUCAGUAAACCCACAGAAUGAACAAACAAAUACAUCAGAGAACAUUGAUAAACAUAGACUUAAAGAAAAAAAAGAUACUUUAAAAAUUUAUGAAAGUAUGUUUUUAGCUGAUACAAAAAAAAAAAAUAAUAUUCCCGGUAUAAAACACGAUUCUUUAAUUAAUGAAAAAUUUUACUCGAUCUUAAAUAAAGAACAUGAAAAAGUGGAACGAGCAAACCAUGCGUCAAAAACAGGACACAUGUCGAACGAACAAUUAGGAAAAGAAAAUAAUGAUCAUAUAAAAACAAGUUUAUUCAAAUUAAUGACUUCGAAUAAACCAUUAGAAACAAAUUAUGAUAGGACAAAUUUAAUAAAAUCGGCAGAACAGAUUGAAACUGAAUUUAUAAAAGCUUAUGUAAAUGAACAAACAGAAGCUAGCGAAAAAAAUGAACAAACUGGAAGAAAAUUAAAAAGAAGAAAAAAAAAAAUUCAGCAAAUUUUGUCCAAAAAGUAUGAACCGAUAGAAGACCUUACAGCUUUACAGAAAAAAUGGGAUGGACUUUACAAACAUGGGUAGUCUUUAUUUUAUACGUGUGAUAAUAUACUUGUGUAAACAUAUAUAUAUAUAUAUAUAUAUACGCAAUGCAUAUUACUACAACAUUGAG
This 1154-nucleotide long non-coding RNA is filed under the name Piliocolobus tephrosceles (Ugandan red Colobus). RNAcentral's name for it is "lncRNA (ENSPTEG00000011741.1)". The record is from RNAcentral. Lineage: Eukaryota; Metazoa; Chordata; Mammalia; Primates; Cercopithecidae.